RNAcentral lists this unclassified non-coding RNA (279 nucleotides) under plant metagenome. RNAcentral's name for it is "partial contains small subunit ribosomal RNA, internal transcribed spacer 1, and 5.8S ribosomal RNA". The stretch from base 1 to 48 matches the Rfam family "Eukaryotic small subunit ribosomal RNA", at positions 1784 to 1831 of the family's 1831-position model. The record is from RNAcentral.
GAAAGUCGUAACAAGGUUUCCGUAGGUGAACCUGCGGAAGGACCAUUAUUGUAUAACCGCGGUGCGAGGGCUGUCGCUGACCCGAAAGGUCGUGCACGCCCGAGUGCCCUCACACACAUCCAUCUCACCCCUAUGUGCACCACCGCGUGGGUCCCCCUUUGGCUUGUUCGGAGGGGGGCUUACGUUUUCACACAAACUUUGUAUGCAGUGUAGAAUGUAUUUUUUGUUUUUGCGAUCACGCAAUCAAUACAACUUUCAACAACGGAUCUCUUGGCUCUC